CAAUAGAAAAGGAUGUAGUAAUAUAUCUAUUUAUGAGUAGUAAAACCUUUGAAACUUGGCUUUAAAAUGAUUUUUCUAUCUCCCUAGGUAAUAGCAAUGCUCAAAAAUAUCUCCACUCUCCAUUAGAGAUGGGCAACAGGCCGGCGCCCAUAACACAGUCCGGCCUGGCACCAGACAGACCGUGCUAGGCACGGCUCGUCAGCUAC
Molecule: long non-coding RNA, 206 nt
Filed under: Elaeis guineensis (African oil palm)
Lineage: Eukaryota; Viridiplantae; Streptophyta; Magnoliopsida; Arecales; Arecaceae
Description: long non-coding RNA (EGUI_LNC026179)
Source: RNAcentral